AUGGGCUGCUGCGGUGGGGGCGCCAUGUCAUCGUCGUCGUCGUCGAGGCCGAGGGGCGGCAUCCGGGAGGAGACGCUGCUCCGCGUCCCGGGCGCGGCGGUGCACCUCGUGGCCGGUUCCGAGGGGCCCCUCGAGCUCGGCCGCGGCGAACUCUCCGUCGUGAGGAUCUUCAAGGACGACGUGGCCGUGACCACCGUGGUGCGCGUCGGCCGCGACCUUGGCUGGCCGCUGGCGAGGGACGAGCCUGUGGUCAAGCUCGACCGCCUGCACUACCUCUUCACGCUGCCGGACAAGGACGGCGGGCUCCUCAACUACGGCGUCUCCUUCGCCGACGCCGCGCUGCUGCCGUCCUUCGACUCGCUCCUCAAGUCCAACUCCUGCUUCUCCACGCCCUCGGCGCCGUCGAGGGGCUCGAGGCCGCCGCCGCCGGCGUCGGCGUCGCCCGACGCGUACUGGAACGACUUCUCGUCGAAGGUGGAGAGCUACAACAACGUGCUCGCCAAGGCCAUCGGCGCGGGCACCGGUCACCUCGUCAAAGGCAUCUUCAUGUGCAGCGAGGCCUACGCCAGCCAGGUUCAAAAGGGAGCCAACCUGAUAAACCCUCAAGCAGCCGGCGGCGCGAGCAAACGCUUCGGCGGCGCCGGUGGAGCUGACGGGAGCAGCCAGGCAGGUCCGGCGAAGCGUGGAGGAGUCAACAAGAGCCUCAAGAGGGUGCGGAAGCUGUCGGAGAUGACGGAGAAGAUGAGCAAGACGAUGCUGGACACGGUCAUCUCGGUGACGGGGUCCAUGGCCGCGCCGCUGCUUCGCUCCAACCAAGGGAAAGCCCUCCUCUCCACCGUCCCCGGGGAGGUCGUUAUCGCCUCUCUCGACGCCAUCAAUAAAGUUAUGGACGCGGUAGAGGCUGCCGAGAGGAGGUCGCUUGCUGCAACCUCCAACGUUGUUUCUGGUGCAGUGUCCAAGAGGUAUGGAGAGAGCGCAGGGGAGGCGACCGGAGACGCGUUCGCGACGGUCGGGCACACCGUCGGGACGGCGUGGAACAUCUUCAAGAUACGCAAGGCCGUCACGCCGUCGUCCUCCCUUCCGGGGAACAUGGUCAAGAGCGCCGUCAGGAACAGAAACUGA
Molecule: ribosomal RNA, 1122 nt
Filed under: Triticum aestivum (bread wheat)
Lineage: Eukaryota; Viridiplantae; Streptophyta; Magnoliopsida; Poales; Poaceae
Description: partial small subunit ribosomal RNA
Source: RNAcentral